RNAcentral lists this long non-coding RNA (467 nucleotides) under Echeneis naucrates (live sharksucker). Its description in RNAcentral is "lncRNA (ENSENLG00000000461.1)". Lineage: Eukaryota; Metazoa; Chordata; Actinopteri; Carangiformes; Echeneidae. The record is from RNAcentral.
CAGGUACUUCGUCUCCUAAAGUCACAUCUUUUAUUCUUUACUCAGGUUGAAGAGCUGCAGGUUGUCAAAGAUCAGCUGUUCUUCUCUGGUCUCAGCUCUGAAGUCCAACUCCUCCCAUCUCAGAGAACUGGACCUGAGUCUGAACAACAUGAAAGAUUCAGACCUGAAGGAUCUUUCUGAUCUUGUGAAGAGUCCAGACUUCAGACUGGAGACUCUGAGGUUCAACGGAAGAGUGAUUAAAGCUUCUACAGAGAAAACCUGUGAUUCUGAUGUCAAACAGAGUCCAAACACAGCAGAGACAAAGAUGAUUGUGUCAGAGGACAAAAAGCCAGACAAGGUGAGAGGUCAAAUAUCUGUCCUGAUGCUCCAGACUGAUUUAGAGGCUCGGCACAUGGCAGGAAGGGGAGAACAAAUAUUCAACCAAUAUCUCCUGUAGCUGGCAAUGAUUUAAUCUCUUUGAGCAGAGA